Long non-coding RNA from Nematostella vectensis (starlet sea anemone), 641 nucleotides. RefSeq lists it as uncharacterized. Lineage: Eukaryota; Metazoa; Cnidaria; Anthozoa; Actiniaria; Edwardsiidae. The transcript is spliced from 3 exons. The record is from RefSeq and is a predicted model, not a curated record.
UCGUCUCGCACGUUGGGCCUCAUUUUGAUUACACGAAGUCUCCGUAACUUUUUGUGCCCCAGUUUCUUUCUUUUACCUAAAAAUACAAACGAAUAAACUGCAUCAUACAGUGUGCCUAAGAUUAUACAGAAUGCCUGAGGUUUUAGAAACAAGUUUGGGUGCUAGGCUGCUAAAGCAAAGAGUUUCUUCAAGAGUAAGAAAAGGCCAAUGAGAGGGACUUGUACCUUAUGUAUCAUGCGUCUUAGAUUUUUUAAACAGUUUUCGCAACUACCGCUAGAUCUCCUUACGCAUCAUCGAGAAAUCCUCACGAAAAUGUAAGAAGCAAUCCCGCGCAGACCAUGUUAUGCAUUGACAAAAAUUGUUAUGACGAUGGAAGACGCAACUCCGCGCAGACCAUCUUACGCAUCGUCUGGAAAUUGUCCUGAAGAUGUAAGACGCAACCUCGCGCAGACCACCUUACGCAUGGUCUGCAAAACGUCACGAAGAUGUAAGACGUAACUCCGCGCGGACCAUCUUAUGCAUCGUCUGGAAGUCAUCACGAAAAUGUGGGAAACAACCCGCGCAGACCAUCUUACGCAUGGUCUGGAAAUUGCCAUGAAGAUGUAAGACGCAACUCCGCGCAGACCACCUUAAGCAUCGUC